GAUGAACGCUAGCGGAAGGCUUAAUACAGGCAAGUCGAGCGGUAGGUGGCUUCGGCCAUUGAGAGCGGCGCACGGGUGAGUAACGCGUACAUGACCUGCCUGUCAGAAGGGGAUAGCCCUGGGAAACUGGGAUUAAUACCCUAUGGUAUUGAUAUUAUGAAUGAUAUCAAUUAAAGUUGAGGCGUUGACAGAUGGAUGUGCGUCUGAUUAGCUAGUUGGUAGGGUAACGGCCUACCAAGGCGACGAUCAGUAGGGGGCGUGAGAGCGUGGUCCCCCACACGGGUACUGAGACACGGACCCGACUCCUACGGGAGGCAGCAGUAAGGAAUAUUGGUCAAUGCCCGCAAGGGGUGAAACCCAGGCCAUUCCGCGUGGAGGAUGAAGGCCCUAUGGGUUGUAAACUUCUUUUAGAUGGGAAGAAAAUGCUAGAUGUAUCUGGUACUGACGGUACCAUCAGAAUAAGCACCGGCUAAACUCCGUGCCAGCAGCC
This 490-nucleotide ribosomal RNA is filed under the name uncultured bacterium. RNAcentral's name for it is "bacterial SSU rRNA". It matches the Rfam family "Bacterial small subunit ribosomal RNA", at positions 28 to 516 of the family's 1533-position model. The record is from RNAcentral.